Maniola jurtina (meadow brown) is the source of this 98-nucleotide long non-coding RNA. RefSeq lists it as uncharacterized. Lineage: Eukaryota; Metazoa; Arthropoda; Insecta; Lepidoptera; Nymphalidae. The record is from RefSeq and is a predicted model, not a curated record. The transcript has 3 exons.
UAACGUUCCAAGUCAGUCUUUGGUCUGAGUUACAAAAACUCGAUACAUUCCACCAAAAUGUUACAAGUCAAUCUCCAGCUUCGUAAGCUACACGUGCG